GCAUUGGUGGUUUAGUGGUAGAGUUCUCGAGUGCCACGUGGGAGGCCCAAGUCCGAUUUCUGGCCAAUGCA
Molecule: transfer RNA, 71 nt
Filed under: Lepisosteus oculatus (spotted gar)
Lineage: Eukaryota; Metazoa; Chordata; Actinopteri; Semionotiformes; Lepisosteidae
Rfam family: tRNA
About the family: Transfer RNA (tRNA) molecules are approximately 80 nucleotides in length. Their secondary structure includes four short double-helical elements and three loops (D, anti-codon, and T loops).
Source: Rfam by way of RNAcentral